GACGAACGCUGGCGGCGUGCUUAACACAUGCAAGUCGAACGCUGAAGCUCAGCUUUUGUUGGGUGGAUGAGUGGCGAACGGGUGAGUAACACGUGAGUAACCUGCCCCCUUCUUUGGGAUAACGCCCGGAAACGGGUGCUAAUACUGGAUAUUCACUGGUCUUCACAUGGGGGUUGGUGGAAAGGGUUUUUCUGGUGGGGGAUGGGCUCGCGGCCUAUCAGCUUGUUGGUGGGGUGAUGGCCUACCAAGGCUUUGACGGGUAGCCGGCCUGAGGGGGUGACCGGUCACAUUGGGACUGAGAUACGGCCCAGACUCCUACGGGAGGCAGCAGUGGGGAAUAUUGCACAAUGGGCGCAAGCCUGAUGCAGCGACGCCGCGUGAGGGAUGGAGGCCUUCGGGUUGUGAACCUCUUUCGCUCAUGGUCAAGCCGCAACAAUGGUUGUGGUGAGGGUAGUGGGUAAAGAAGCGCCGGCUAACUACGUG
This 483-nucleotide ribosomal RNA is filed under the name uncultured bacterium. Its description in RNAcentral is "partial 16S ribosomal RNA". It matches the Rfam family "Bacterial small subunit ribosomal RNA", at positions 28 to 507 of the family's 1533-position model. The record is from RNAcentral.